AUUAUACUCCCUCCGUUCCACAAUACAUGCCUUCCAUUUAUCAACAUAUAGAUGUAUCUAGACAUGUUUUAGUAUAUAGAUACAUUCAUUUUUGAACAAAUGUAAGUCAAAUAUUUUGAAACGGAGGGAGUAUCAG
Triticum aestivum (bread wheat) is the source of this 136-nucleotide non-coding RNA. The record is from Rfam. Lineage: Eukaryota; Viridiplantae; Streptophyta; Magnoliopsida; Poales; Poaceae.